Molecule: long non-coding RNA, 444 nt
Filed under: Physcomitrium patens
Lineage: Eukaryota; Viridiplantae; Streptophyta; Bryopsida; Funariales; Funariaceae
Description: long non-coding RNA (PPAT_LNC009720)
Source: RNAcentral
CUAUGCUUACUCAAUUUCAAUCUGGCAAAUAUCGACUCUCUUAUCUUUGAAGCUUCUAUUUGGCCUUGCAAAGUAGCUAUCUGGCCUAAGAGGCAUUGUAUUUGAGCCUCUAUCUAGGAUUGCUCCUCUACAUCUCCCAUACUAUAAUUUCUCCAAUAGACUCCACUAUUGUAAUAUCUUUUCAUCUCCCAAUUGACUUUUUAAAAGUAGCUCGUAAUAGCCUCAAUACAGUACCCAAUGUAACCACAACAACUGACCUUAGACUAUAUGAUGACUACUAAUAUGCUACCAAAAAUAAAUAGUCUAAUACUCGCUCUAAUAUCAAUAAAACAUGACCAAAUUAUUUCAAAAACCUAAGAUCCUUCUAGUCCACAGCAACAUAAAAUCUCAUUACGAAAUAUGACAAAAUAGACCAAAAUAGAAUUGAACGGAACUACACAAAAU